Molecule: unclassified non-coding RNA, 377 nt
Filed under: uncultured Actinomycetes bacterium
Lineage: Bacteria; Bacillati; Actinomycetota; Actinomycetes
Description: uncultured actinobacterium contains 16S-23S intergenic spacer region
Source: RNAcentral
UCCGUUUUGACAACGGCAGUCUCGUUAGAGUCCCCGGCAUUACCCGCUGGCAACAUGAAAUAAGGGUUGCGCUCGUUGCGGGACUUAACCCAACAUCUCACGACACGAGCUGACGACAGCCAUGCACCACCUGCACACAGGCCACAAGGGAAACGACAUCUCUGCCGUCGUCCUGUGCAUGUCAAACCCAGGUAAGGUUCUUCGCGUUGCAUCGAAUUAAUCCACAUGCUCCGCCGCUUGUGCGGGCCCCCGUCAAUUUCUUUGAGUUUUAGCCUUGCGGCCGUACUCCCCAGGCGGGGCACUUAAUGCGUUAGCUUCGGCACGGAGGGAGUCGACACCCCCCACACCUAGUGCCCAUCGUUUACAGCGUGGACUAC